Molecule: ribosomal RNA, 254 nt
Filed under: uncultured bacterium
Lineage: Bacteria
Description: partial 16S ribosomal RNA
Rfam family: Bacterial small subunit ribosomal RNA
Source: RNAcentral
UACGUAGGCAGCGAGCGUUGUUCGGAGUUACUGGGCGUAAAGGGUGUGUAGGCGGUUGUUUAAGUUUGGUGUGAAAUCUCCCGGCUCAACUGGGAGGGUGCGCCGAAUACUGAAUGACUUGGAGUGCGGGAGAGGUGAGUGGAAUUCCUGGUGUAGCGGUGAAAUGCGUAGAUAUCAGGAAGAACACCCGUGGCGAAAGCGGCUCUCUGGAACGGUACUGACGCUGAGACGCGAAAGCGUGGGGAGCGAACAGG